CCAAAGGCUCUUUUAAGAGCCACUUAAAAUACCUGAAAGGUUAUU
Erinaceus europaeus (western European hedgehog) is the source of this 45-nucleotide non-coding RNA. NCBI's taxonomy places the organism in Eukaryota, Metazoa, Chordata, Mammalia, Eulipotyphla, Erinaceidae. The record is from Rfam.